UGGGGGAUAUUGCACAAUGGGCGAAAGCCUGAUGCAGCGACGCCGCGUGGGGGAUGAAGGCUUUCGGGUUGUAAACCUCUUUCGCUAUCGAACAAGGCCCGCUUAGGGUGGGUUGAGGGUAGGUGGAGAAGAAGCGCCGGCUAACUACGUGCCAGCAGCCGCGGUAAUACGUAGGGCGCGAGCGUUGUCCGGAAUUAUUGGGCGUAAAGGGCUUGUAGGCGGCUUGUUGCGCCUGCUGUGAAAACGCGGGGCUUAACUUCGCGCGUGCAGUGGGUACGGGCAGGCUUGAGUGUGGUAGGGGUGACUGGAAUUCCAGGUGUAGCGGUGGAAUGCGCAGAUAUCUGGAGGGACACCGAUGGCGAAGGCAGGUCACUGGGCCAUUACUGACGCUGAGGAGCGAAAGCAUGGGUAGCGAACAGG
This 420-nucleotide ribosomal RNA is filed under the name bacterium. RNAcentral describes it as "partial 16S ribosomal RNA". It matches the Rfam family "Bacterial small subunit ribosomal RNA", at positions 355 to 776 of the family's 1533-position model. The record is from RNAcentral.